This 471-nucleotide ribosomal RNA is filed under the name uncultured Glomus. Its description in RNAcentral is "SSU rRNA". It matches the Rfam family "Eukaryotic small subunit ribosomal RNA", at positions 623 to 1089 of the family's 1831-position model. The record is from RNAcentral. Lineage: Eukaryota; Fungi; Glomeromycota; Glomeromycetes; Glomerales; Glomeraceae.
AAAGCUCGUAGUUGAAUUUCGGGAUUGACGUGACGGUCGUGCCUUAAGGGGCGUGAACUGUCGCCGUUGAUUUCUCACCUUCUGGAGAAGCUCGAUGUCCUUAAUUGGAUGUCUUGUGGAACCAGGACCUUUACCUUGAAAAAAUUAGAGUGUUUAAAGCAGGCAUUUUGCUCGAAUACAUUAGCAUGGAAUAAUAGAAUAGGACGGCAUGGUUCUAUUUUGUUGGUUUCUAGGAUCACCGUAAUGAUUAAUAGGGAUAGUUGGGGGCAUUAGUAUUCAAUUGUCAGAGGUGAAAUUCUUGGAUUUAUUGAAGACUAACUACUGCGAAAGCAUUUGCCAAGGAUGUUUUCAUUAAUCAAGAACGAAAGUUAGGGGAUCGAAGACGAUCAGAUACCGUCGUAGUCUUAACCAUAAACUAUGCCGACUAGGAAUCAGACGAUGUUAAUUUUUUAAUGACUCGUUCGGCACCUU